UCCAGGCUUGGAGACAUGUACCUGUAGUCCCAGCUACUCAGAAGGCUGAGGCAGAAAGAUUGCUUGAGCCCAGGAGCUCUGGGUUGGAGUGUGCUAUGCCAAUGGGGUAUCUGCACUAAGUUUGGCACCAGUUCGGCAUCGAUUUGGUGACCUCCUGGGAGCAGGGGACCAUCAGAUUGCUUAAGGAGGGGUGAACUGACCCAGAUUGGAAAUGGAGCAGGUCAGAACUCCUGUGCUUAUCAGUAGUGGGAGCAUGCGUGUGAAUAAUCAUUGCACUACAUCCUGGGAAACAUAAGAAUGUUUCUCUU
Molecule: unclassified non-coding RNA, 308 nt
Organism: Saimiri boliviensis boliviensis (Bolivian squirrel monkey)
Lineage: Eukaryota; Metazoa; Chordata; Mammalia; Primates; Cebidae
Rfam family: Metazoan signal recognition particle RNA
About the family: The signal recognition particle (SRP) is a universally conserved ribonucleoprotein. It is involved in the co-translational targeting of proteins to membranes. The eukaryotic SRP consists of a 300-nucleotide 7S RNA and six proteins: SRPs 72, 68, 54, 19, 14, and 9.
Source: Ensembl